CCUACGGGUGGCAGCAGUGGGGAAUUUUGCGCAAUGGGGGAAACCCUGACGCAGCAACGCCGCGUGAGUGAUGAAGGCCUUCGGGUCGUAAAGCUCUUUUAGUGGGGAAGAAUCCCUUCCGGGCGAAUAACCCGGGAGGAUGACGGUACCCACAGAAAAAGUUCCGGCUAACUACGUGCCAGCAGCCGCGGUAAUACGUAGGGAGCAAGCGUUGUUCGGAAUUAUUGGGCGUAAAGAGCGCGUAGGCGGUUUGGUAAGUCUGACGUGAAAUCCCGGAGCU
Molecule: ribosomal RNA, 280 nt
Filed under: uncultured bacterium
Lineage: Bacteria
Description: partial 16S ribosomal RNA
Rfam family: Bacterial small subunit ribosomal RNA
Source: RNAcentral